UGGGGAAUAUUGGACAAUGGGCGAAAGCCUGAUCCAGCAAUGCCGCGUGAGUGAUGAAGGCCUUAGGGUUGUAAAGCUCUUUUACCCGGGAUGAUAAUGACAGUACCGGGAGAAUAAGCCCCGGCUAACUCCGUGCCAGAAGCCGCGGUAAUACGGAGGGGGCUAGCGUUGUUCGGAAUUACUGGGCGUAAAGCGCACGUAGGCGGCUUUGUAAGUUAGAGGUGAAAGCCCGGGGCUCAACUCCGGAAUUGCCUUUAAGACUGCAUCGCUAGAAUUGUGGAGAGGUAAGUGGAAUUCCGAGUGUAGAGGUGAAAUUCGUAGAUAUUCGGAAGAACACCAGUGGCGAAGGCGACUUACUGGACACAUAUUGACGCUGAGGUGCGAAAGCGUGGGGAGCAAACAGG
RNAcentral lists this ribosomal RNA (404 nucleotides) under bacterium. Its description in RNAcentral is "partial 16S ribosomal RNA". It matches the Rfam family "Bacterial small subunit ribosomal RNA", at positions 355 to 776 of the family's 1533-position model. The record is from RNAcentral.